UGUUAUCUACUUACUUGAAAUAUUAGAUCUAUUACAAAUCUAUUUUUCAUUAAAAACAACCCUAUGUGAUGAAAAUGUAAAUGUACUUACAAAACUGGUAAAUGCAUGAACCAGGGCAUUGACACUGGUUGGAGAGAAAUUAUAGGCUUUGUUUAAUUAAUACCUAUUUCAUUUUAGGCUUCUACUGAUAAUGGAGAGUAGAAACAACAAGAAGUGCGUUAUUUGUAAUAAGAGGCGAAGUCGUGGUGGAUCACCCUUACUUUUGAGUAGGUUUCCUCUGGAUUCUGACCGUUGUCGAAUGUGGGUUAAAAAUGCUGGCAUAGAAGACUUAGCAUAUGUACCUAUUGAAAAGUUACACCAACUUAAGUUUGUUUGUGGUGGGCACUUCACUCCUGAAUCCUUCAAUGCCAAAGGAACUCGGCUGAAGAACUCAGCUAUUCCAACACUGGAAUUGAGCAAUCCCAUCUUGCCAGAUGAAGUUUUGACAGAGUUUCCUCUUCAUGUAAAAGACUCCAAUAAAGAAAACCUCAAGACAGUUCUUUAUGAUCAUUCAUAUUGCAUUCCAAAGAAGUCAAAUCCAGUUGAACGAG
This is a long non-coding RNA of Ostrinia nubilalis (European corn borer), 590 nucleotides long. RefSeq lists it as uncharacterized. The record is from RefSeq and is a predicted model, not a curated record. The transcript is spliced from 3 exons. NCBI's taxonomy places the organism in Eukaryota, Metazoa, Arthropoda, Insecta, Lepidoptera, Crambidae.